Molecule: ribosomal RNA, 116 nt
Filed under: Sinocyclocheilus grahami
Lineage: Eukaryota; Metazoa; Chordata; Actinopteri; Cypriniformes; Cyprinidae
Source: RNAcentral
UUCACAGCCAUAUCACCCUGCAGCCCAAGACUGGUCACCCACUGAAGCUAAGCAGGGUUGAGCCUGGUCAGUACUUGGAUGGGAGACCUCCUGGGAAAACUAGGUUGCUGUUGGAA